GGCCUCGUAGCUCAGCUGGUAGAGCGUGCGUUGUAGAAAAGCGUUGGCAGCGUCCAAGCGUGAGCUCGAAUCCUGCCGAGGCUA
RNAcentral lists this transfer RNA (84 nucleotides) under Echinostoma caproni. It matches the Rfam family "tRNA". From Rfam's summary of the family: Transfer RNA (tRNA) molecules are approximately 80 nucleotides in length. Their secondary structure includes four short double-helical elements and three loops (D, anti-codon, and T loops). Further hydrogen bonds mediate the characteristic L-shaped molecular structure. tRNAs have two regions of fundamental functional importance: the anti-codon, which is responsible for specific mRNA codon recognition, and the 3' end, to which the tRNAs corresponding amino acid is attached (by aminoacyl-tRNA synthetases). tRNAs cope with the degeneracy of the genetic code in two manners: having more than one tRNA (with a specific anti-codon) for a particular amino acid; and 'wobble' base-pairing, i.e. permitting non-standard base-pairing at the 3rd anti-codon position. The record is from Rfam by way of RNAcentral. Lineage: Eukaryota; Metazoa; Platyhelminthes; Trematoda; Plagiorchiida; Echinostomatidae.